This is a long non-coding RNA of Oreochromis niloticus (Nile tilapia), 1904 nucleotides long. RefSeq lists it as uncharacterized. The transcript is spliced from 2 exons. NCBI's taxonomy places the organism in Eukaryota, Metazoa, Chordata, Actinopteri, Cichliformes, Cichlidae. The record is from RefSeq and is a predicted model, not a curated record.
AGGCCUGAUUCACACAGUCUCCUCUGAACAUGUAGAGAUGUGUCUGCUGCUGGAGCUCUGUGUGGCAUCUAUCUGGGCUCUAAUCUGCUGUUAACCCGUGAUGAGGCUGGUGACUUGGAUGGAUUUACCCUCAGCAGCAGAGAAGCAGUAAAACCACCAAACCUGUGACUGCUGCUGUACAUCAUCAUGUCUGUUUCCUCAGAGGCUGCGCUGCACACCAUGCUGAGGUUUGGCUGAUCAUUCUUUGGGAAUCACCGUGUGUGUCACCAAACGUAUUAACCUUGAUUACAUGUUUAUAUAAUCAGCUGAAAAAUAAAAAUAAAGCCAGUGCAGCAUGACUGUAGUACUGAGACUGAGAAAAGAAUAAGCGAGGCCACUCUGACGAGUCCUCUGCUUUUACUCCCAUCGAUUUCUCACUCAGCCACUUGUGGCCAGCUUUGAAUGAAAUUGUCCCGCAGCUACUCAGUAUGGAUGAGUAGCAAUGCCAAGAUGACUCGGAGAAGAUUCAGAGUCAAGUUUAUAGAGAUGAUUGGACCAAAUAAUGGGUUUUGUCUGCGGUCUGAAGCAGCUGCACCAACCUGUUUGUCUGCAGGAGCUAUUUGCUUUCCUAAAGUCCGAUUAGGCCCGAGAGGCUAGUUUGUGUGAUUGCGUGUCUCUUCUGAUAUAUGUCGCCUGUGUGUGCACAAGUGUGUUUGCGGGAAGCAUGUGAAAGUGUGCCUGAAUUUUCCCUGCACUUCUAUCAGCAUGCUUUGUUAAGAUGCUAGGAUUACGGUAAUUGCAGUGGCUGCGUCUGCUGCUCAGGAAGCAGGAAACACUCGGUUUUGCUGCCCUUAUCUCUGUGCCUCAGUGUGUGUGUGUGUGUGUGUGUGUGUGUGUGUGUGUUUGAAAAAAGUCGUGUGCAUUUGAUGUUCACGUCUCUGCUUCUCACCGUGCGCACCCUGCUCCUGAUCGGAUCACAGCAGUGAGAUACCUCGAGAUAAUCGCCCGAGAUAAUAGACUUUUUAUUGAUUCAUCUCACACAAUCUGAUCAUUCUCUCUGGAGCAUAAACUCUUGUAAUUGGUGUAAAUCAGCCAGCAGACUGUAAAAGAUGGACGUUUAUUGCCAGCAGAUACAGAGUCUGAAGGAAUAUGAGCCGGUGUGAGGGCAGCUAAUCGUCAUCAGAGCAGCUGGAGUGGAGAAAAUGACACCUGGCCAGUGUCACGAAAAGAGAUGUGUGUGUGUCUGUGUGUGUGUGUGUGUGUGAGAGAUUUCACUCAAAUAAGUUUGAAAGUAGCACUGGAGCCAGACUCGAUGGAGCUCAUGUUGUUUCUGUCUCGAGAUAACAUUUGUAGAAGACGAGUGAACGCGCUGCGUCACAUAUUGCUCCGUUCUCCGUCUCAGGCGUCCUUGUAGUUCUUUAUUGCUUUAUUAAUCAGCCUGAGCCACAUGGCAUGCAGGGAGACAUAGUUUAGUGAGCAGUGUGGCCUACUGUUAAUAUUUAAUGGGUUAGCUUUUAUGAUCAUUCUGCAUGUUGUUCCAAAUAUUACUGAAAUGGAAAAGUUACAGAGCGUAUAGCGGAGUACGUUGGGGUGGGACUGACUCGGAGAUUCGAGGUGUCACAGACCAGGGCGGAAACGACCCUGUCAAAACUGAUGCAUUGCUGGAGAUCAGUCAGAUGUGAGCAACAGUGUUUGGUAUGAUCACAAACACAGUCUGUCAGUGCAGUGAAAGCAGGCAGAGUCAGUCAUGAUCGGCCUCCUCAACAUAGCUGGACAGACUGAGAUCAUCCUGACAGAGAACUGAGCAAACAUGCUGUGAGUGAAGCCUGGAGAAGUGUUCCUGAGAGAGUUCAGGCUGGGUUGAAGAAUAAAGGUGCUCAUACCAAAUGUUCACUUUGAAGACCAUUAAACUUGUACAAACUCUG